GACGAACGCUGGCGGCGUGCUUAACACAUGCAAGUCGUACGGUAAGGCCCUUUCGGGGGUACACGAGUGGCGAACGGGUGCGUAACACGUGCGUAACCUGCCCACAACUUUGGGAUAACGCUAGGAAACUGGUGCUAAUACUGGAUAUGUGCUCCUGCUGCAUGGUGGGGGUUGGAAAGCUCCGGCGGUUGUGGAUGGACUCGCGGCCUAUCAGCUUGUUGGUGGGGUAGUGGCCUACCAAGGCGGCGACGGGUAGCCGGCCUGAGAGGGUGACCGACCACAUUGGGACUGAGAUACGGCCCAGACUCCUACGGGAGGCAGAGGUGGGGAAUAUUGCACAAUGGGCGCAAGCCUGAUGCAGCAACGCCGCGUGCGGGAUGACGGCCUUCGGGUUGUAAACCGCUUUCAGCAGGGACGAAGCUUUUUGUGACGGUACCUGCAGAAGAAGCACCGGCUAACUACGUG
This 465-nucleotide ribosomal RNA is filed under the name uncultured bacterium. RNAcentral's name for it is "partial 16S ribosomal RNA". It matches the Rfam family "Bacterial small subunit ribosomal RNA", at positions 28 to 507 of the family's 1533-position model. The record is from RNAcentral.